ACGAACGCUGGCGGCGUGCUUAACCCCUGCAAGUCGAACGGAAAGGCCCUGCUUUUGUGGGGUGCUCGAGUGGCGAACGGGUGAGUAACACGUGAGUAACCUGCCCUUGACUUUGGGAUAACUUCAGGAAACUGGGGCUAAUACCGGAAAGGAGCUCCUGCUGCAUGGUGGGGGUUGGAAAGUUUCGGCGGUUGGGGAUGGACUCGCGGCUUAUCAGCUUGUUGGUGGGGUAGUGGCUUACCAAGGCUUUGACGGGUAGCCGGCCUGAGAGGGUGACCGGCCACAUUGGGACUGAGAUACGGCCCAGACUCCUACGGGAGGCAGCAGUGGGGAAUAUUGCACAAUGGGCGGAAGCCUGAUGCAGCAACGCCGCGUGCGGGAUGACGGCCUUCGGGUUGUAAACCGCUUUCGCCUGUGACGAAGCGUGAGUGACGGUAAUGGGUAAAGAAGCACCGGCUAACUACGUG
This 467-nucleotide ribosomal RNA is filed under the name uncultured bacterium. Its description in RNAcentral is "partial 16S ribosomal RNA". It matches the Rfam family "Bacterial small subunit ribosomal RNA", at positions 29 to 507 of the family's 1533-position model. The record is from RNAcentral.